Molecule: long non-coding RNA, 1088 nt
Filed under: Gallus gallus (chicken)
Lineage: Eukaryota; Metazoa; Chordata; Aves; Galliformes; Phasianidae
Description: long non-coding RNA NONGGAT011863
Source: RNAcentral
AACAGACAGAUUUUCUACCAAGUACAUCAAUUUCCUCAGUAUACUGGUAACCACCUAUCUACAAGGGAUGUUCCAAAAGUAUGGCCUCCUAUUUUAUUAUGUUGGCUUACGAUUUCAGAGGUGGAUGUUGGUGAUGUGACAGUAGAAGUUGAACAUUCUCACCAAUGUUGUUGCCAUGCAACAGAUGGCAGUGGAGGGGCAGUGUGACACAAUGGCAUCUGACGUGGAAGUGCACAGAAAGCAAAGAUCUGGUGAGAGCUGAGGCCAAGCAUGAACCUAUCCUGAAUUUAUCUCAAGUGCACUUCAGAUGCAGCGCAUGAUUGGAUCCCACCUGGUGUACUUGAAGAGCAGUCAUCCUUGAAAGAUAAACUCCUGACUUUUUUUCUUCCUUCUGAAAGCACGGAAAUGUUCAGUUCUGUUCUGCUCCUUUUUCUUGCCACUGAAGCAGUGUUUGUUGCCUCUAUAAAAUGGAACCAAACAAGAUGAUUAAAUGAUUCAUCAAAAAGAAAAACAGUAGUAGAUGGUCGCUGAUGAUUCUCAUCCUGAAUUUCUUACUGGACCCCUGCCAAUCCCUCACUAGCUUUGGCACCCGGAGGAAAACUGAAGCUUGUCUGUGGAGCAGCCUUGGUACUCACGGGGCAGUAUGCGUAACUAGUGUAAACUGAAAGCUGAGUAUACAUUCCCAAAACAUCACAGGUCUAACACCGUAGGCUAUUGCCAUAGCUGACUGCAAAACACUGAAUGCCAGAAACUGACAGUGGAGGUAUUCCUUCCUCAGGAUGUUUGCCUGUCUAGUCAUGAGUACACAGCUAUGCUGAGAUGUUGGAAGAGGUGUCACACGAUGAUACAUAAAAAUACAUCCUGUUAUCCUUAUCUUGACAGCUCAAUCAACCUGUCACCAAGUAGCAAAAGUAUUCUUCCAGUUUCCAUCAUAAUGAAAGAAAUAGUUCUCCUGUCCUAUGAUGAUUUCCACUGUGAAGAAAUAGUGUCUUACCAGAGCACAGGUAGACAGGGAGAAGAGGGAAAGUAAACUUUCGUUUGAGAGUUCAAUACGCAGAAUUGUUCUUCUUGUUUAUCUGCGGCACCUC